AGAGUUUGAUCCUGGCUCAGGACGAACGCUGGCGGCGUGCCUAAUACAUGCAAGUAGAACGCUGAAGACUUUAGCUUGCUAAAGUUGGAAGAGUUGCGAACGGGUGAGUAACGCGUAGGUAACCUGCCUACUAGCGGGGGAUAACUAUUGGAAACGAUAGCUAAUACCGCAUAACAGCAUUUAACCCAUGUUAGAUGCUUGAAAGGAGCAAUUGCUUCACUAGUAGAUGGACCUGCGUUGUAUUAGCUAGUUGGUGAGGUAACGGCUCACCAAGGCGACGAUACAUAGCCGACCUGAGAGGGUGAUCGGCCACACUGGGGCUGAGACACGGCCCAGACUCCUACGGGAGGCAGCAGUAGGGAAUCUUCGGCAAUGGGGGCAACCCUGACCGAGCAACGCCGCGUGAGUGAAGAAGGUUUUCGGAUCGUAAAGCUCUGUUGUAAGAGAAGAACGUGUGUGAGAGUGGAAAGUUCACACAGUAACGGUAACUUACCAGAAAGGGACGGCUAACUACGUGCCAGCAGCCGCGGUAAUACGUAGGUCCCGAGCGUUGUCCGGAUUUAUUGGGCGUAAAGCGAGCGCAGGCGGUUUAAUAAGUCUGAAGUUAAAGGCAGUGGCUUAACCAUUGUUCGCUUUGGAAACUGUUAGACUUGAGUGCAGAAGGGGAGAGUGGAAUUCCAUGUGUAGCGGUGAAAUGCGUAGAUAUAUGGAGGAACACCGGUGGCGAAAGCGGCUCUCUGGUCUGUAACUGACGCUGAGGCUCGAAAGCGUGGGGAGCAAACAGAAUUAGAUACCCUGGUAGUCCACGCCGUAAACGAU
This 819-nucleotide ribosomal RNA is filed under the name uncultured bacterium. Its description in RNAcentral is "bacterial SSU rRNA". It matches the Rfam family "Bacterial small subunit ribosomal RNA", at positions 8 to 810 of the family's 1533-position model. The record is from RNAcentral.